GACGAACGCUGGCGGCGUGCUUAACACAUGCCAGUCGAACGGUGAACCUCUUCGGAGGGGAUCAGUGGCGAACGGGUGAGUAACACGUGGGCAACCUGCCCCCGGCUCUGGGAUAACUCCAAGAAAUUGGGGCUAAUACCGGAUGUUCACCGCUUCCCGCAUGGGUGGUGGUGGAAAGGGUUUCCGGCUGGGGAUGGGCCCGCGGCCCAUCAGCUUGUUGGUGGGGUAGUGGCCUACCAAGGCGACGACGGGUAGCCGGCCUGAGAGGGUGACCGGCCACACUGGGACUGAGACACGGCCCAGACUCCUACGGGAGGCAGCAGUGGGGAAUAUUGCGCAAUGGGCGGAAGCCUGACGCAGCGACGCCGCGUGGGGGAUGACGGCCUUCGGGUUGUAAACCUCUUUCAGCAGGGACGAAGCGCAAGUGACGGUACCUGCAGAAGAAGCACCGGCCAACUACGUG
RNAcentral lists this ribosomal RNA (463 nucleotides) under uncultured bacterium. RNAcentral's name for it is "partial 16S ribosomal RNA". It matches the Rfam family "Bacterial small subunit ribosomal RNA", at positions 28 to 507 of the family's 1533-position model. The record is from RNAcentral.